This 69-nucleotide transfer RNA is filed under the name Goniopecten demonstrans. RNAcentral describes it as "tRNA-Glu". It matches the Rfam family "tRNA". Rfam says of the family: Transfer RNA (tRNA) molecules are approximately 80 nucleotides in length. Their secondary structure includes four short double-helical elements and three loops (D, anti-codon, and T loops). The record is from RNAcentral. Lineage: Eukaryota; Metazoa; Echinodermata; Asteroidea; Paxillosida; Goniopectinidae.
AUUUCUAUAGUCAAAUUAUGACAGUAGCUUUUCACGCUACAAAUUUGAGUGAAAACCUCAAUAGAAAUU